This is a long non-coding RNA of Hevea brasiliensis (rubber tree), 672 nucleotides long. RefSeq lists it as uncharacterized. The record is from RefSeq and is a predicted model, not a curated record. NCBI's taxonomy places the organism in Eukaryota, Viridiplantae, Streptophyta, Magnoliopsida, Malpighiales, Euphorbiaceae. The transcript has 2 exons.
CAUCCCUUUCUCAGCCCUGAACCCGGCUUCCUCACUAGCGGAACCUGUGGGGCAGGACUUAGAAGGCAUGGGCAUGGUCAUACCUAGGCGAAUGGGAAUAGCCCGGGCCGCUUCUGGCCAACACAGACUGACAAAACCAUCCCAAGAGCCAAGCUUAAAUUGUGAAAAUUUACGAUAUCAUCAGGUAACAUGUUCCAAGGUCAUUUCUCAUUCGAGCAAUAAGUAGGUUUGGGGGGAGAAUCAGGUGUCUAAUUUCCAAAUUGUCACAGCUGAAACAAUUAGCGGGAACGCAUCCGAAGGACGCACGUUAGGAGUUAGAACUGUCAUGCGCUGGAGGGCCAUUCAUCUUGGAUGUCCAAUUUGCGAGCUUCGGCAACGCGAAAGCGUAGCUCCUUCCGAGGGGUGAUUUUGAGGCCACUCGCAGCGUUUACGUAGUGGAAAAGGAGUUGUUCCAAGUUCCAAAAAUGCUACAGGGGCAACAUUUGGAGUAAACAACAUUGGCAAUUGCUAUACCGACAGACUGGCCGUGCAAGCUCUUGGCAUGGAAAACAGUAACAGUGAAGCCGCAUUAAAAGAUAAAUCCAACCCCCAGAAACAAGAAUAAUAAAGGCCAUAAGCUAUAUUUGGUUGCCCCUGAAAUGAAAUAAUUUUACUAUGAAUUUUGUUUCACUA